Molecule: long non-coding RNA, 2501 nt
Filed under: Salmo salar (Atlantic salmon)
Lineage: Eukaryota; Metazoa; Chordata; Actinopteri; Salmoniformes; Salmonidae
Description: lncRNA (ENSSSAG00000119227.1)
Source: RNAcentral
AUGUAGGCUAAUAAAUAGACUAGCAUGUCAAAUGGACACCAUGUGGAGGAUAGUCAUACGUGGUGGCAUUGAUGGGUACAGCUGCCUCGUUGUGUUUCUCCGUGCUUCCAGCAACAAUCGCAGCAGUACUGUAAUGGAUUGCUUCAUGAAUGCUGUCUCCAGAUAUGGCGUUCCCUCCAGAGUUAGGACGGACCAUGGAGGAGAAAACAACACUGUCUGCUUGUUGAAUUGCAACUUCCUGUGGCCUUCCCUCCACCUAUACCACUUCCUGCGGCCUUCCCUCCACCAUUCCCUGAGGCUUAUCGUCCACCUUCACCACAAUAUGUGGCCUCCCCUCCAUGGAGUCCACUCUCGUCUGUUGAUGUUGGUAAUGACAAUGAUGUUGACCUCCAAACACUGCUGAAGUUAAUGAGAUGCCAACCAAAUUAACGUGAUGAGGGACAACGUUUAUGAUUGUGCAAUGAGAGGCUUUACGAGAGCCCGCUUUAAUCCGGAGGCAAAAAUAGGCGUGGUUUUUAGGGAUGCUGACGGAAAAGGGGCAGCUGAUGAGGGUGGUCCCUCAAGAGAAUUUCUCCGGCUGUUAAUGAGUGCCAUCCAUUCCUCUGCAAUAUUUGAGGGACCUGAUUGGCAAAAAUGCCUUUCUUGCAUCGCUCAAGCGCUCUAUGGUGGCGUAUACAAGCAGGUGGGACGCAUGAUUGCUGUCUGUCUGGUACAUGGGGGUGUAGAGACACCAUUUUUUCCAGAGAGGCUAUACAGGCAAGUGUGUAGACUACAACCUCCUGUGCCAGAACUGAAAGGAAUAUGACUUCAGAGAGAAGUUGAAGAUCCAGUUAGCACAAACUGUUGACGAGGCACAGGAAGCGGUCAUGGAGGCCUCCGAAACAACUGGUCAUGUUGGGUUCAGUGUGAUACAUUAGUACAUUGGAGGAGAGGGAUGCCCUGGUGGAGUCAGCCACAAAGUUCUACUUAGAAAGCAGGCUACGGGAUGCUCUUGAGCAAUUCAAAAGAGGGUCUGGAGUGUCUACGUCUCCUGCCUUACAUGAAUAGACACUCAAGCCUCUUCAGAGGUUUUCAUCUACGCUGAGAAACCUCUUUUGGCCAAAGACAAAUCUUCUCUCUUCACAGCAAUGCUCUCCCCACCUGAGGGGAAAGCAUACCCUUUAACCCUGGAGAAGAUUCUCAUUUUCACUUCCGGGGCUUCGGCCAUUCCUAGGCUGGGAUUCCCAGUGGAGCCACAGCUACAAUUCUUACACAAACAAGAGAAUGAGGCUGCCAGGAUGUUCCGGAAGCAAAUACAUGCAGCAUUGUUUUAAGGCUGCCAACACAUCCAACCCUACGCAGCCUUCAGGGAGAAAAUGGAGAGUGAAUUUUACAAUCACCAACAUUUAUUUUUUUGUAUGUAUUUUUCUUAAGUGCAUUGUUGGUUAAGGGCUUGGAAGUAAGCAUUUCACCGUAAUGUCUACACCGGUUGUAUUCGGAGCAUAUGACAAAUAAAAUUGUAUUUGAUUUAAAGGGAAUUCAUUUAAGGGAAUUAUCCAAAAUGUUUAUUGCAUGACUACGUAGUAAAGUUCAGAAUACUGCAGCCAAUGUUAAUUGGUGAUGUGUCCCAAAACGGUUGAUAUUAUGAAAGUUUCCAACAGGAUCGGCCAUCAGCAAAAAAAGUUGGACACAGUAAUACAAAAUGCAGCUUUAAUAAAUGUAUGAUUUCUUAGUGGGUAAACUGAGCAUUAUGCAAAGUAGUGUAUUUUUAUUACCUUUAGUUAACUAGGCAAGUCAGUUAAGAACAAAUUCUUAUUUUCAAUGAUGGCCUAGGAACAGUGGGUUAACUGCCUUGUUCAGGGGCAGAACGACAGAUUUUUACCUUGUCAGCUCGGGGAUUCGAUCUUACAACCUUCUGGUCACUAGUCCAAUGCUCUAACCACUAGGCUACCUGUCACCCCUAGUGUAUGUCAAGGGACUAUAAUGUUACAAUAUGUGCAAUGUUACCAUAAAUAAAUCUUACAGUAAAUAUGGACAUUUCAUUUAAAUGUGUUAUGGCCAUAGAAACAGACACUGUAGUUGGUACAUUGGUCGUGGUGCAGCAAGUUGAUGAGGGUAGUGGAGAAGCACUGGUGGGACUUUAUGAGUGAAGUGACUGGGGGCAGAAAAGGAUAUCAGGGUGCCCAGGAACUUAAAGCUGCUGAUCAUCUCCAUGGUAAUGUACAGUAGAUGGGAGAAUGGUCAUUAAGUCUCACCGUUUUGCUUACGCUGAGACUGUUGUCCUAUCACCCUUAUGUCAGGUCCCACAGCUCCUUCAUGUACUCAUGUGUACCAUGGUUGGGUCGGGUACAUUCUGGGGAUACACAUUCUUAUGAUAAUGUAAAAAAUCUCAUUUGUUAUUACUGGGUUUACACCCAGAGGCCUGAGUCUGCUAACCAGUUUGUGGGUCAGGAUGGUGUUGAAAGCAGAGCUAUAAAAGGAAACGCACUCUGACAUAUGUAAAAUGCAUAAUUGACAAAUGG